UGCGGUUUUAUGUAAUAGGUAACAUAUUUGGCUCAUGUCCAAAAUAUAGGGGUUCGAAUCUUCUAACCGCAU
Molecule: transfer RNA, 72 nt
Filed under: Jatropha curcas
Lineage: Eukaryota; Viridiplantae; Streptophyta; Magnoliopsida; Malpighiales; Euphorbiaceae
Rfam family: tRNA
About the family: Transfer RNA (tRNA) molecules are approximately 80 nucleotides in length. Their secondary structure includes four short double-helical elements and three loops (D, anti-codon, and T loops).
Source: Rfam by way of RNAcentral